This is a long non-coding RNA of Austrofundulus limnaeus, 1046 nucleotides long. RefSeq lists it as uncharacterized. NCBI's taxonomy places the organism in Eukaryota, Metazoa, Chordata, Actinopteri, Cyprinodontiformes, Rivulidae. The transcript is spliced from 3 exons. The record is from RefSeq and is a predicted model, not a curated record.
GUACUCUGUCUGUCUGUACUUCCAUCAGUGAGCGAUAAGACCUCCCGCUGUGUUCCUGCUGCGUUGCGCAUCAACAGCAGAAGCAGAGUUUUUGCAUAAACUAAAUUUACAGUUAUCUGUCAAGAAGAACUGGAACAAGAAAUCAUUCGACCACCAUCAAUGAAUUGAGGAGUCACUGCCUUCUGACCAUCCUGCAUUUAACAGAACUCUGCAUAAGAUUGUUUGGGAAAAAAUAGCUGAUAAAAUGUCUAGUUUGUCAAAUCAUACUGAUCAUACUGAAAUAAAUUAUUUUCAUGUGUUAGAACAGGCAUUACAAAAUCUUAUUCAGCAGAACUCUCCAUCAACCUCAGAAGCUAAUGACAUUUCUGUUCUGAGUCAAUCAUUACAAAAUGUUUUAAACAACGCUGAGCAGAAUUCACCCCCUGGUUCGCCAAAACAGACAGAAAGUCGAAUCCAAGCAUUACGUAACGAAAUUGCGGGACAGCAACAACAACAACAACAACAGUCUGAUCAGGACCGCUUAGAAACUCUUCAAAUUCACAGCACAAAUCUGGACCAGACUCCAAUCGGUCUACUUGUUAACGCUUUAAAUAAUUCAUUAUCUGAACUUAGAAACACUGCCGCUGCUGCUGCUGAUGAAAGCGCUCAAAUUAGCACACCCGACACGGGUCAAUCAACGCACCCUGAUUUAUUUAGUAUUUUAGAUGAUGCGUUAUUAGCAUUAAGAAUCGCGUGCUCCCCAGAACAAAACCAUGAACAAGACCCAGGUAUCCACCCGCAAAACACUGCCACAGUUCAGUACGAUGCCGAGGCGUCAUCUCCCGAAUCAAUGCAACCCCCUGAUCUUUCCCCGCGCCCUGUCUCCUCUCCAACUCCGGAGGCUGCAUCAUCAAACUCGGUUCCUCACAGCCACAGCGCAAUCCAGUACGGUGCGGGGAUUCACGCUACUUCACCUCCCUCCUCCUCCUCCUCUCCCACUCCAGGACCUUCAACCGGUCCGGAUCAAAAUGAAAGAUCUCGUGAAAGAUUUAAUAAUUACAAAAUCA